GAUGAACGUUGGCGGUGUGCCUAAUACAUGCAAGUCGAACGGAGUUAAUAGCAAUAUUGACUUAGUGGCGAACGGGUGAGUAACGCGUUGGUGAUCUGCCUCGAAGUGUGGAAUAACGUUCCGAAAGGAACGCUAAUACCGCAUGUGCUCUCGAUUUUUAGAAACUUGAGAGUAAAGGAUUUAUUCGCUUCGAGAGGAGCCUGCGUCCCAUCAGCUGGUUGGUAGGGUAACGGCCUACCAAGGCUAUGACGGGUAGGGGACCUGAGAGGGUGGCCCCCCACAAUGGAACUGAAACACGGUCCAUACACCUACGGGUGGCAGCAGUAGGGAAUAUUAGAAAUGGACGAAAGUCUGAUCUAGCAACACCGCGUGUGCGAAGAAGGCCUUCGGGUCGUAAAGCACUUUUUGGAAGGAAUAGGAAGGAAUGUACUUCCAGAAUAAGUCUCGGCUAACUACGUGCCAGCAGCCGCGGUAACACGUAGGAGGCAAACGUUAUCCGGAUUUACUGGGCGUAAAGCGCGUGUAGGUGGUACUGUAAGUAGGGCGUGAAAGCUCCCGGCUCAACUGGGAGAGGCCGUUCUAAACUGCAGAACUAGAGGAUGGUAGAGGGAGGUGGAAUUCCAGGUGUAGCGGUGGAAUGCGCAGAUAUCUGGAGGAACACCAGUGGCGAAGGCGGCCUCCUGGACCAUUCCUGACACUCAGACGCGAAAGCUAGGGUAGCAAACG
Molecule: ribosomal RNA, 726 nt
Filed under: bacterium enrichment culture clone B4-32
Lineage: Bacteria
Description: bacterial SSU rRNA
Rfam family: Bacterial small subunit ribosomal RNA
Source: RNAcentral